Long non-coding RNA from Aedes albopictus (Asian tiger mosquito), 4604 nucleotides. RefSeq lists it as uncharacterized. NCBI's taxonomy places the organism in Eukaryota, Metazoa, Arthropoda, Insecta, Diptera, Culicidae. The record is from RefSeq and is a predicted model, not a curated record. The transcript has 2 exons.
CUCUUCUUGGCGUAACGUCCUCACUGGGACAAAGCCUGCUUCUCAGCUUAGUGUUCUAUGAGCACUUCCACAGUUAUUGACUGAGAGCUUCCUCUGCCAAUGACCAUUUUGCAUGCGUAUAUCGUGUGGCAGGCACGAAGAUACUCUAUGCCCAAGGAAGUCAAGGAAAUUUCCUUUACGAAAAGAUCCUGGACCGACCGGGAAUCGAACCCGUCACCCUCAGCAUGGUCAUGCUGAAUACCCGUGCCGCAGACAGACGUUCUAGCUCGAACAAAUUUAUUCAAAUUUUCUAUGUAAAUUUUCACUAGCGACACCUAGGCAACCGAUUGCCACAGUGCAGUCGCGUGCAGUUGACAGUUUGAGAAACCACGUGCUUCCAGCCGCUUGCUUACCACCCAAUUCACCACCCACCGAAAAAUAAAAUCAAAACAAACACUGUCAAAACCAUUCCUACAUUUAUGUCACAUUCACAAAGAUUUCCCAAUGCGAGUGAAGUUCAUCCAAAUGCAGUUUUAUUCAAGCAAAUCUAUGUAAAAUAAAAGUAAUAAUGUGUAAAAUAUUUUACAAGAGUCCUGCGCUAAUUUUUGCAAAAGAUUUUAGACAUUAAAUAAAAGUCAUUUACUCUGCACAAAUUAUGUGGAAACAGGCAUGAGAAUGAGACUUUUUUCUGUUUACCGUUCAUCGAUACUAGCAGUAAAAUAAAAACAAAACAACGGCAGCACCAAUACCAUCAGACGCCGCGCCGACGGCAGUCAAGCAGACGCUUGAUGGUUUUCGCUUCCCCACGAAAAUAUUUAUGAGCAGUCAAGCUGAGGCGGGUGAUUGCGAAAAAUGUCAAAUAUUUUCAACUGCUAAUAACUCACUUGUUUUGAUAGAUAAUUUAAAUCGAUUUGCACAAAUAGCUAGAGCACACUCCCAGCUUUGUGAUGCAUGUAAAGAAGUUUGUCUGGAAGCGGUUUGAAACGCAGAAAAAUGCGAAAAUGGGAGAGACAGAAAUUUUUGUCGUCGUUGUGCUCGAGUACUGGCGCUCUCGAGCUUGGAAACCGUUUCGAGGAAGAAGGCUGCAGGAAAAAAAAAUGUUAUGACAUUUAUUUUUCGAACAGUUUGAGUUUGGCUGGGCUUGUGAUGUUCGUGUGGAAAAAUGUCAAAUGUACAGCCGGUUACCGUUUUUUCCAGUACAUUUCUCAUCCCUGGAUUAGCGUGCAACACGUGCGGUCUGUUCCCGCCACCCGGCUGGAAGACGACCGUAGUGACAGUUGUUGCUCGCAACGCACAUGUGAGGCAGCGAUUGAAUAUGAACGUCGCUAACGCCAUCUGUUCGCUGAUUGCCACUUGGCAAUUUGUGGCGGCCAUGUUUUUUACACAAGCUGCUGAGUCAAACUUGAACGUCUGUCUGCGGGCAUAGUAUGUGACUAUUGUCGAAACAACACUAUUUUUAGUCAUUGUCCAACCAAGCGCAUAACUAUGUUAGGGUCAAGAUUAAGACUAUUUUUGGUCAUUGUCCACUAAGCGCAUAACUUUGUAAGGGUCAAGAUUAGGAUGAAAUCAUUGGUAAAAUAUAAUAACACUUUUUAGUUUGUGUAGUUAGUUGAACUAGUGUUAACUUUUUAUUGGGAUAUUUUCUGUAGGUUUAUUCUGGAUUACAAUGCAUUAUUUAUUUAUUUAUUUAUUUAUUUACUGAUCUCUUCAAACUUAAGACUGCUGUCUUUUAUGUUUAAGUGCUGAGGACAAGAAUUAUUUGGUUGCUAGAAAAAAAAACUCAUAAGAAUUACAAAAAAAAUCAAUUUUUAAAUUACUUAUUUAACUAAUUAACUAACUAAAAUGCUCAAUACACGCCCUUUUAAACCCGCCUGCUGAAACAAUCGAUUGAAUUCCAGAAGGUAAAUCAUUCCAGAAAUGUACACCUCUUACAAAAAAUGAACUCCCAUAUUGUGAUGUUCUAUAUCGGGGUAUUUGAAACUUUCUGCCACGCUGACUUCUGAAAGGGACUAAUUUGGAAAAUAAAUAAGGCGGGGCAUUGGGUUUCAAAAUGCUAUGGAGAAGAACAGUGCUUCUCAAUUUAAUAGAACUAUCCAAUUUACAACCAAUCAAGAAAUGCUGUAAAUGAGUCACGCUAGAAUAUCUGUUGAGAUUAAAAAUAAACCGGACACAACAAUUUAAUGCCACUUUGAAGCGGUUUAUAAUGUAAGCUGAAGCUUGUGGUAAAACAAAAUCACAGAACAAAAAGUGUGGGUAGAUUAGUGUUUUGAAGAGCAUCAAUUUGGUUUGGACAUUAAGACAUGCUGCUUUCAUUCUUAGAGUUCGAAGAGAUGCAUAUACUUUCCCGCAUUGUUUCAGUAAGAAUGAAUCCCAUUCAAAAUUAUUCUGAAUGGUGAUUCCUAAGCUAAGGACUUCAUUCGAGAACUCUAUUUUACGGCCAUUCAAAAUAAUGUUUGGUUGAUUGAUGUUUCUACUACGUGUUAUUAAAAUGGCCUGAGUUUUGCUUGUAUUUAGGAUCAGAGAGUUUUCUUUGGCCCAACCGGCUACAUCUGCAAGGCAUUUAUUUAUAAGAUUUUCAAUUUCAAGCUGUUCUAAGUUAGAGCAAUCGAAGAAGAUUUGCACAUCAUUAGCUGCCCUUUAACUGAAUUAUUUUAUAACAGUAAACAACAUUAUUCCUUCUUGAUAAAAGAUGUAUGGACAUAUUGGGUUUCUCAUUGAUGUUUAGACUACUGUGAUAAUUCGAUAAUCCAUUAGAUCAUCAUUUUCCAGCGACAUUUUACACUAAUCAAACUUAUUUUGUUUACUUGUUGUGCAUCCGACGCCCAAGUCAUGAAAUCAACCGAAGUUGUGUACGCUAGCCGCUGCGAAGUCGUGUGCGAAAUUGUGAUGAUAAUGAAUUCGGGCCGAGUCUAAAUGGGUGCAAAUGUCGCAAUAGAAUUGCCAAACUAUACAUCUGAUCAGAUAUUUUUCCGGUAUUAAAUUUGGGGUAGAGAGUUAAACACCUACGGAAAAUAGUUUUUCAAUGUCAGACAAACAUCACAUGAACACAGCUACCAAUGUACCAAACCUUCUCUACUGUCUUCUCAUUGCGCCGCUUCCUAUCCUCAAUUGAACUUAUCUGACACUAGUUAGGACUGCCUGUGGAAGAUCCGGGUUUCUAAUUCUGUGUAGGACUUGUUAAAACGGGAUGCCUGAUAUGUACUGCGGAUAAAAGGGCCCAUAUAGCCGAGGCGGUAAACGCACGGGUAUUCAGCAUGACCAUGCUGAGGGUGACGGGUUCGAUUCCCGGUUGGUCCAGGAUCUUUUCGUAAAGGAAAUUUCCUUGACUUCCUUGGGCAUAGAGUAUCUUCGUGCCUGCCACACGAUAUACACAUGCAAAAUGGUCAUUGGCAGAGGAAGCUCUCAGUUAAUAACUGUGGAAGUGCUCAUAGAACACUAAGCUGAGCAGCAGGCUUUGUCCCAGUGAGGAGGUUGCGCCAAGAAGAGGAGAGGACAAAUGGGCUGGAAGUACUGAGAUCACAAUUACUGUCGUAAUCAUAUUAAAUGCAUGCUUUUCUACUUACAUCCCGAACGUCGCCAACCGGCAAAGAGGACAUGACGAAACGCGAGAUGGCGUUAGCGUUAGCGUUAGCGUAGUUACGGUAUACUUCGUAGAUUGGAUACUAACAACAUUCAUGUACCUUUUGCUAAUCUUGCAUGGAUUGCUUUUCGGAACAAGGCUGGGGAGUUAACUUCGCUCCAAUCUUAUACAAGAAUACCAAAAGCACAAAUGUCAUUAUUCCCGGCCACGCCCAUCUUUACCGUAACUUGGGAUAGGGGAAGGAAAUGUUGAUGUAGCACUUAUAUAAGAGGCCUCCGACUCAGUGACACUCCCAUAAGUACUACGGAGUGGGUGGUUGGGAGAUGUAUUAUGUAGGUCAAGGAUUCGCCUGAAAAGCUGGCGAUGGACCCACGGCAUUGGUUGUUUAGUUGGUUAAAAUUUAAUCUUUUGAAAGCCGGCAAUCAAAAGAGAUUUUUUUUCUAUUUAUUGUUUAAAUAAUUAUGUUCCUGCUCAGUAAGAGGCUCAAUCAGAACCGAUCCCUCCAGGGUCAUCGGAACAUCACAGUAAAUGUUUGAAACGCGUGAAAAAAAAACAAAUUUGGCGAUCCGGAAAAAAAAACUCAAUUACACUGAAACCUCCAUUUAAGUCGAUGCAUGGCUGAUCGAAAAUAAUUUUUACCGUGCCGGCAAUGACUAAACUAUACAGUUUUAUAUUUUUUGACAAAUCUCCUUUGUCAUGCGAAGUGUUAAAAAAUAUAAAAGUCUAUAGUUUUGUCAUUGCUUGCACGGUAAAAAAUAUUUUCGAUCAGCCAUGCAUCGACUUAAAUGGAGGUUUCAGUGUAUAUAAAAAAAAACGCGAAAACAACGAAAAAAAAACAUCUCAAUUUAUUAAAAAAAACGUAAAACGAGUUGAAGAAAAUAAAAUCAAAAGAUAUUUUUUCUAUUUAUUGUAUAAACAAGUAUGUUUCGGCUCAGUGCGAGGAACAAGCAGAACCGAUCCCUCCAGGGUCAUCGGAACUUUGCAAUAAAUGUUUAAAACGCAAGGAAAAAAAAUUGGUGACUCGAAAAAUAACAAAAUAAAAGAA